Molecule: long non-coding RNA, 308 nt
Filed under: Ananas comosus (pineapple)
Lineage: Eukaryota; Viridiplantae; Streptophyta; Magnoliopsida; Poales; Bromeliaceae
Description: long non-coding RNA (ACOM_LNC004222)
Source: RNAcentral
CCCAUUAAAAAUUAUAUUGUUACGCUUUUUCCAUAAGUUCCAACAUACAGCAGUAAAUAUCGAGUCAAUUUUAUGUCGCAGCUUGACUAGUGUUUUUUCCUUCAUUUGGAAAGAAGGAUGCCAUCUAACUAUAGUAAAGACUAGUGGGUGUAUUUGAAAAGUUUUUCACAUUCGACCCAAGUGAGCUUGAAAAAAUCACAGCACGUAAAAAAGUAUAUAGCUGUUUCAGGCUCUCUGUUGCAUAGCGGGUAAGUCGGUGGAUAUGGCCAUCCCCUCCUAUUUGGAUAAAUCUUUUGGUGGUCUUCAAG